RNAcentral lists this ribosomal RNA (251 nucleotides) under uncultured bacterium. RNAcentral's name for it is "partial 16S ribosomal RNA". It matches the Rfam family "Bacterial small subunit ribosomal RNA", at positions 527 to 779 of the family's 1533-position model. The record is from RNAcentral.
CGGAGGUGCGAGCGUUAAUCGGAAUAACUGGGCGUAAGGGCACGCAGGCGGUUAUUUAAGUGAGGUGUGAAAGCCCCGGGCUUAACCUGGGAAUUGCAUUUCAGACUGGGUAACUAGAGUACUUUAGGGAGGGUAGAAUUCCACGUGUAGCGGUGAAAUGCGUAGAGAUGUGGAGGAAUACCGAAGGCGAAGGCAGCCCCUUGGGAAUGUACUGACGCUCAUGUGCGAAAGCGUGGGGAGCAAACAGGAUU